Oncorhynchus gorbuscha (pink salmon) is the source of this 228-nucleotide long non-coding RNA. RefSeq lists it as uncharacterized. The transcript is spliced from 3 exons. NCBI's taxonomy places the organism in Eukaryota, Metazoa, Chordata, Actinopteri, Salmoniformes, Salmonidae. The record is from RefSeq and is a predicted model, not a curated record.
CGAAGUGGCUCUUCAAGCCACUUUGCAGCUGGACACACGUUGCCACCCUCCGUCAUCGUGUGUCUGACUAUGGUGAGCGUGUUUGGCUGCAUGGUGCUGCCGUGGAUGGGCCAGAAAGACAUGCUGUUGGAGAGGACAAGAGGAAGACGAAGGAGGGACACGCAGCAUGAUGCUGCGUGUGAGCAGGUGUCUCUAUCAGCUACGGCCUGCGCCAACCCGAAGCGACCU